This 86-nucleotide transfer RNA is filed under the name Bacteroidota bacterium. Its description in RNAcentral is "tRNA-Leu". It matches the Rfam family "tRNA". Rfam says of the family: Transfer RNA (tRNA) molecules are approximately 80 nucleotides in length. Their secondary structure includes four short double-helical elements and three loops (D, anti-codon, and T loops). Further hydrogen bonds mediate the characteristic L-shaped molecular structure. tRNAs have two regions of fundamental functional importance: the anti-codon, which is responsible for specific mRNA codon recognition, and the 3' end, to which the tRNAs corresponding amino acid is attached (by aminoacyl-tRNA synthetases). tRNAs cope with the degeneracy of the genetic code in two manners: having more than one tRNA (with a specific anti-codon) for a particular amino acid; and 'wobble' base-pairing, i.e. permitting non-standard base-pairing at the 3rd anti-codon position. The record is from RNAcentral. Lineage: Bacteria; Pseudomonadati; Bacteroidota.
GCCCAGGUGGUGGAAUUGGUAGACACGCAGGACUUAAAAUCCUGUGAGCAGUGAUGUUCGUGCGGGUUCAAGUCCCGCCCCGGGUA